GGCCUCGUGGCCCAAUGGCAAGGCGUCUGACUACGAGACAGAGUCAGUCAACGAUUGACUCUUCAGAUAAUCAGGAGAUUCUGGGUUCGACCCCCAGCGAGGUCA
RNAcentral lists this transfer RNA (105 nucleotides) under Xylaria cubensis. RNAcentral's name for it is "tRNA-Arg". It matches the Rfam family "tRNA". From Rfam's summary of the family: Transfer RNA (tRNA) molecules are approximately 80 nucleotides in length. Their secondary structure includes four short double-helical elements and three loops (D, anti-codon, and T loops). Lineage: Eukaryota; Fungi; Ascomycota; Sordariomycetes; Xylariales; Xylariaceae. The record is from RNAcentral.